UACGGAGGAUGCGAGCGUUAUCCGGAUUUAUUGGGUUUAAAGGGUGCGUAGGCGGAGUGCCAAGUCAGCGGUAAAAAUUCGGGGCUCAACCCCGUCGUGCCGUUGAAACUGGCGCCCUUGAGUGGGCGAGAAGUAUGCGGAAUGCGUGGUGUAGCGGUGAAAUGCAUAGAUAUCACGCAGAACCCCGAUUGCGAAGGCAGCAUACCGGCGCCCGGCUGACGCUGAAGCACGAAAGCGUGGGUAUCGAACAGG
Molecule: ribosomal RNA, 252 nt
Filed under: uncultured bacterium
Lineage: Bacteria
Description: partial 16S ribosomal RNA
Rfam family: Bacterial small subunit ribosomal RNA
Source: RNAcentral